CAGUCUAUCAGUCAGUCAGUCAGUCAGUCAGUCUAUCAGUCAGUCAGUCUAUCAGUCAGUGUGUCAGUCAGUCAGUCUAUCAGUCAGUCAGUCAGUCAGUGUGUCAGUCAGUCUAGUCAGUCUAUCAGUCAGUCAGUCAGUCAGUAUAUCAGUCAGUCUAUCAGUCAGUCAGUCUAUCAGUCAGUCAGUCAGUAUAUCAGUCAGUGUGUCAGUCAGUCAGUCAGUCUAUCAGUCAGUGUGUCAGUCUAUCAGUCAGUCAGUGUGUAAGUCAGUCAGUGUGUCAGUCAGUCAGUAUAUCAGUCAGUCAGUAUAUCAGUCAGUCAGUGUGUCAGUCAGUCAGUAUAUCAGUCAGUCUAUCAGUCAGUCAGUGUGUCAGUCAGUCAGUGUGUCAGUCAGUCUAUCAGUCAGUCAGUGUGUCAAUCAGUCAGUAUAUCAGUCAGUGUGUCAGUCAGUGUGUCAGUCAGUCAGUAUAUCAGUCAGUCAGUGUGUCAGUCAGUCAGUGUGUCAGUCAGUCAGUCAGUGUGUCAGUCAGUCAGUCAGUCUAUCAGUCAGUGUGUCAGUCAGUCAGUCAGUCAGUCUAUCAGUCAGUGUGUCAGUCAGUC
RNAcentral lists this long non-coding RNA (602 nucleotides) under Pelobates cultripes (western spadefoot toad). The record is from RNAcentral. Lineage: Eukaryota; Metazoa; Chordata; Amphibia; Anura; Pelobatidae.